CCUACGGGUGGCUGCAGUGGGGAAUAUUGGACAAUGGGCGAAAGCCUGAUCCAGCCAUGCCGCGUGUGUGAAGAAGGCCUUCGGGUUGUAAAGCACUUUCAGUGGGGAAGAAAGCCUUGGGGCUAAUACCCUCGAGGAAGGACAUCACCCACAGAAGAAGCACCGGCUAACUCCGUGCCAGCAGCCGCGGUAAUACGGAGGGUGCGAGCGUUAAUCGGAAUUACUGGGCGUAAAGCGCGCGUAGGCGGUCUGAUAAGCCGGUUGUGAAAGCCCCGGGCUCAACCUGGGAACGGCAUCCGGAACUGUCAGGCUAGAGUGCAGGAGAGGAAGGUAGAAUUCCCGGUGUAGCGGUGAAAUGCGUAGAGAUCGGGAGGAAUACCAGUGGCGAAGGCGGCCUUCUGGACUGACACUGACGCUGAGGUGCGAAAGCGUGGGUAGCAAACAGGAUUAGAUUACCCAGUAGUC
RNAcentral lists this ribosomal RNA (465 nucleotides) under Vreelandella stevensii. RNAcentral describes it as "partial 16S ribosomal RNA". It matches the Rfam family "Bacterial small subunit ribosomal RNA", at positions 338 to 795 of the family's 1533-position model. Lineage: Bacteria; Pseudomonadati; Pseudomonadota; Gammaproteobacteria; Oceanospirillales; Halomonadaceae. The record is from RNAcentral.